CGCACCGUCGUAUAAACGGUCAGUACACCGGCCUUUCAAGCCGGAAAUACGGGUUCGAUUCCCGUCGGUGUGA
RNAcentral lists this transfer RNA (73 nucleotides) under Oscillospiraceae bacterium. RNAcentral's name for it is "tRNA-Glu". It matches the Rfam family "tRNA". From Rfam's summary of the family: Transfer RNA (tRNA) molecules are approximately 80 nucleotides in length. Their secondary structure includes four short double-helical elements and three loops (D, anti-codon, and T loops). Further hydrogen bonds mediate the characteristic L-shaped molecular structure. tRNAs have two regions of fundamental functional importance: the anti-codon, which is responsible for specific mRNA codon recognition, and the 3' end, to which the tRNAs corresponding amino acid is attached (by aminoacyl-tRNA synthetases). tRNAs cope with the degeneracy of the genetic code in two manners: having more than one tRNA (with a specific anti-codon) for a particular amino acid; and 'wobble' base-pairing, i.e. permitting non-standard base-pairing at the 3rd anti-codon position. The record is from RNAcentral. Lineage: Bacteria; Bacillati; Bacillota; Clostridia; Eubacteriales; Oscillospiraceae.